CAACACAAUUAUUUGAAAGAUGGUCCAUAUGUCACACCAGAAGAAGCAGUUGCCAUUUAUACAACAACCGUGCAUUGGCUGGAGUCCAGAAAGUUUUCUCCCAUUCCAUUCCCUCCACUGUCAUACAAGCAUGACACCAAGCUACUUAUCCUUGCUCUGGAAAGGUUGAAGGAAUCAUAUAGUGUGGCUGUCAGAUUGAACCAACUGCAGAGGGAAGAGCUGGGUCUUAUUGAGCAGGCUUAUGAUAAUCCACAUGAGGCUUUGUCACGGAUUAAACGUCACCUACUUACUCAGCGUGCCUUCAAAGAAGUUGGCAUAGAGUUCAUGGAUUUAUAUAGUGCUUUGAUUCCAGUUUAUGAAAUUGAACCUCUUGAAAAAAUAACGGAUGCAUAUCUUGACCAAUAUCUGUGGUAUGAAGGUGACAAGCGCCAUCU
RNAcentral lists this unclassified non-coding RNA (434 nucleotides) under Hevea brasiliensis (rubber tree). The record is from RNAcentral. Lineage: Eukaryota; Viridiplantae; Streptophyta; Magnoliopsida; Malpighiales; Euphorbiaceae.